UCAGGGGUUAACCUAGGUGGAAUUUGUGUAAUAUAUGGAGAACAAAGGAAAACAACGGUUGUAAAAGGGUAUUUAAAUAAGGCCAUAACAUGAGUGAGUUAGAAUUUUUCAGACAGAGAUGCAACUGGGGGUCUCCUGAAAGUUCUCCUUUGUUGUCGACAAUAAAGUAUAUUCUUCUGAUAUUCAUAACCUCCAGACUGAGUUUGAUUUAGUAAGAGAAAAACCAAGAAAACCACCACAAUUCCCUCUUGGAGUGUUUUUAUUUGUGGCCAACACAACUGCCCCUGUGGCUUAGUAGUAUGCACACCAGUUUCCAAACCAGAGACCUGGGUUCAAGACCCGACCGUUACACUGUCAGUAGAGUUAUUGGCAGUUCUGUGCUCCUGAAGUUUCUUCCACUAAACACAAUCUUCAACUUCAAGAUAUUAAUAUCCAUUGGAGACAUAAUGAUUGUGAGAUUGUGUGGGAAAUAAUUAAAGGUGAAGAUUUGGUACAAAAUCAGGACCAGCACUACAAGAACAGGGUCGAGUCCUUCUCUGAACAGUACAACUCAGGAAACAGCUCAAUCAAAAUCAACAAGCUUCAGUAUAGUGAUGAAGGAAUGUACACCUGCUUCAUCACAUGCUCCAAAAAUUUUAAAGAGACUGUCCAGUUGACUGUCAACGAAUCAAGACCCACUCCACCAGAAAACCAAGUA
This is a non-coding RNA of Danio rerio (zebrafish), 697 nucleotides long. Lineage: Eukaryota; Metazoa; Chordata; Actinopteri; Cypriniformes; Danionidae. The record is from RefSeq and is a predicted model, not a curated record.